This 467-nucleotide ribosomal RNA is filed under the name Johnius macrorhynus (big-snout croaker). Its description in RNAcentral is "partial large subunit ribosomal RNA". It matches the Rfam family "Bacterial large subunit ribosomal RNA", at positions 1996 to 2606 of the family's 2925-position model. Lineage: Eukaryota; Metazoa; Chordata; Actinopteri; Sciaenidae. The record is from RNAcentral.
AUGGUAAAACGAGGGCUUAGCUGUCUCCUUUUUCAUGUCAAUGAAAUUGAUCUUCUCGUGCAAAAGCGGGAGUUAUAUCAUAAGACGAGAAGACCCUGUGAAGCUUUAGAUAAUGGGGCAGACCUGGCCAAUAAACCUUAAUAAGGGGUUGAGCUGUAUAAGUUCUGUCUUAAUGUCUUUGGUUGGGGCGACCACGGAGAGUCACGUAACCUCCGUGUGGACUGGGUGCAAGAGUGUUUUGUUCCUAAAGCCAAGAGCUGUUGCUCUAAUAAACAGAAUUUCUGACCUCCUAUGAUCCGGCAAUGCUGAUCAACGGACCGAGUUACUCCAGGGAUAACAGCGCCAUCCUCUUUCAGAGCCCUUAUCGACAAGGGGGUUUACGACCUCGAUGUUGGAUCAGGACAUCCUAAUGGUGUAGCCGCUAUUAAGGGUUCGUUUGUUCAACGAUUAAUAGUCCUACGUGAUCU